Molecule: ribosomal RNA, 827 nt
Filed under: uncultured bacterium
Lineage: Bacteria
Description: bacterial SSU rRNA
Rfam family: Bacterial small subunit ribosomal RNA
Source: RNAcentral
UCUGGAAACUNUCUGACUUGAGUGCAGAAGGGGAGAGUGGAAUUCCAUGUGUAGCGGUGAAAUGCGUAGAUAUAUGGAGGAACACCAGUGGCGAAAGCGGCUCUCUGGUCUGUCACUGACGCUGAGGCUCGAAAGCGUGGGUAGCGAACAGGAUUAGAUACCCUGGUAGUCCACGCCGUAAACGAUGAGUGCUAGGUGUUAGGCCCUUUCCGGGGCUUAGUGCCGGAGCUAACGCAAUAAGCACUCCGCCUGGGGAGUACGACCGCAAGGUUGAAACUCAAAGGAAUUGACGGGGGCCCGCACAAGCGGUGGAGCAUGUGGUUUAAUUCGAAGCAACGCGAAGAACCUUACCAGGUCUUGACAUCCCGAUGCUAUUCUUAGAGAUAGGAAGUUACUUCGGUACAUCGGAGACAGGUGGUGCAUGGUUGUCGUCAGCUCGUGUCGUGAGAUGUUGGGUUAAGUCCCGCAACGAGCGCAACCCUUAUUGUUAGUUGCCAUCAUUAAGUUGGGCACUCUAGCGAGACUGCCGGUAAUAAACCGGAGGAAGGUGGGGGUGACGUCAAAUCAUCAUGCCCCUUAUGACCUGGGCUACACACGUGCUACAAUGGUCGGUACAACGAGUUGCGAGCCGGUGACGGCAAGCUAAUCUCUGAAAGCCGAUCUCAGUUCGGAUUGGAGGCUGCAACACGCCUCCAUGAAGUCGGAAUCGCUAGUAAUCGCGGAUCAGCACGCCGCGGUGAAUACGUUCCCGGGCCUUGUACACACCGCCCGUCACACCACGAGAGUUUGUAACACCCGAAGUCGGUGAGGUANCCUUUUAGGGGCCA